GACGAACGCUGGCGGCGUGCCUAAUACAUGCAAGUUGAGCGCUGAAGGUUGGUACUUGUACCAACUGGAUGAGCAGCGAACGGGUGAGUAACGCGUGGGGAAUCUGCCUUUGAGCGGGGGACAACAUUUGGAAACGAAUGCUAAUACCGCAUAAAAACUUUAAACACAAGUUUUAAGUUUGAAAGAUGCAAUUGCAUCACUCAAAGAUGAUCCCGCGUUGUAUUAGCUAGUUGGUGAGGUAAAGGCUCACCAAGGCGAUGAUACAUAGCCGACCUGAGAGGGUGAUCGGCCACAUUGGGACUGAGACACGGCCCAAACUCCUACGGGAGGCAGCAGUAGGGAAUCUUCGGCAAUGGACGAAAGUCUGACCGAGCAACGCCGCGUGAGUGAAGAAGGGUUUCGGAUCGUAAAACUCGGUUGGUAGAGAAGAACGUUGGAGAGAGUGGAAAGCUCAUCAAGUGACGGUAACUACCCAGAAAGGGACGGCUAACUACGUG
Molecule: ribosomal RNA, 497 nt
Filed under: uncultured bacterium
Lineage: Bacteria
Description: partial 16S ribosomal RNA
Rfam family: Bacterial small subunit ribosomal RNA
Source: RNAcentral